UGAAGUAAGUAAGGGCGUACGGUGAAUGCCUUGGUGCCAACAGGCGAAGAAGGACGCGGCAAGCUGCGAAAAGCCUCGGGAAGCUGCAAGCAAGCGAUGAUCCGGGGAUAUCCGAAUGGGGUAACCUGAUCGAGGCAAUACUCGAUCGUUCAUACCUGAAUACAUAGGGUAUGAAACGCGAAACCCGCUGAAGUGAAACAUCUCAGUAAGCGGAGGAAAAGAAAGAGAAAUCGAUUCCGUAAGUAGUGGCGAGCGAAAGCGGAUGGAGCCCAAACCGAAGGUAUUCCUUCGGGGUUGUAGGACCACGUCAUAUUCGACCAUACUGGAUAGUAGAACAGCCUGGAAAGGCUGGCCGGAGAAGGUGAAAGCCCUGUAGACGAAAUCCAGAGUGGGAAUUAGUGGUAUCCUGAGUAAUACAUCACACGUGGAACGAUGUAUGAACCCGCGCGGACCACCGCGCAAGGCUAAAUACUAGUUGGCGACCGAUAGUGAACAAGUACCGCGAGGGAAAGGUGAAAAGAACCGCUGUGAGCGGAGUGAAAUAGAACCUGAAACCGUAUGUCUACAAAGUGUCAGAGCAGAGCAAUCUGCGAUGGCGUGCCUUUUGUUUAAUGAGUCUGCGAGUCAGUGUUUGUGGCAAGACUAAGGGCUUCCGGCCCGGAGUCGCAGCGAAAGCAAGUCCGAACAGGGCGCAAUAAGUCGCAGGUACUGGACCCGAAGCGGAGGUGACCUACCCUUGGCCAGGUUGAAGCAUGGGUAAAACCAUGUGGAGGACCGAACAGGUGAACGUUGAAAAGUUCUCUGAUGAGCUGAGGGUAGGAGUGAAAGGCUAAUCAAACCCCGUGAUAGCUGGUUCUCUUCGAAAUGCAUUUAGGUGCAGCGUCACGUGCUGAUGCGCGGGGGUAGAGCACUGACAAGGCUAGGGGGCACACCCGCUUACCAAACCUUAUCAAACUCCGAAUACCGUGCAAUGGAACGUGGCAGUGAGACAGUGGGGGAUAAGCUUCAUUGUCGAGAGGGAAACAACCCAGACCAGCAGCUAAGGUGCCUAAAUAACGCUCAGUGGAAAGGAUGUGGGAUUACACAGACAGUGAGGAUGUUGGCUUAGAAGCAGCCACCAUUUAAAAAAUGCGUAAUAGCUUACUCAUCGAGUGAUCCUGCGCCGAAAAUGAUUGGCGAUCAAGCGUUAUACCGAAGCUCUGGACUUUGCCGCAAGGCAGAGUGGUAGAAGAGCGUUGCAUGCGCGUCGAAGGGCGAUGGCGACUGACCCUGGAGCACAUGCAAGUGAGUAUGCAGACAUGAGUAACGUUAAGCCGGGUGAAAUCCCCGGCCGCCGUAAACCCGAGGUUUCCAGGGCAACGUGUUUCGUCCCUGGGUUAGCCGGGACCUAAGCCGAGGCCGAGAGGCGUAGGCGAUGGACAUCAGGUUAAUAAUCCUGAGCUCGCAACCCUUAAACUGGGGGGACGCAUGAGAAAAGAUGACUAGGUUAUUGAAUUCCGAGUUGAGUCUACGGACUCAGCGCAUCAUUGGAUCGAGUGCCAAGAAAAGCCCCAGCGUAUGCUAAGCGACCCGUACCGCAAACCGACACAGGUGGGUGGGUAGAAUAUACCAAGGCGUAAGAGUGAAACCUGGUUAAGGAACUCGGCAAAUUAGCCCCGUAACUUCGGAAGAAGGGGUGCCUGCAGCGAUGCAGGCCGCAGAGAAAUGGCCCAACCGACUGUUUAUCAAAAACACAGCACUCUGCAAAGACGCAAGUCGAAGUAUAGGGUGUGACACGUGACCAAUGCCGAAAGAUUAAGGCAAGGGGUUAGCCGCAAGGCGAAGCUCUAAACCCAAGUCCCGGUGAAUGUCGGCCGUAACUAUAACGGUCCUAAGGUAGCGAAAUUCCUUGUCGGGUAAGUUCCGACCUGCACGAAUCGUGAAACGAGUUGGGCACUGUCUCAACCAGGCGCUCAGUGAAAUUGUAGUGGCGGUGAAGAUGCCGCCUACCCGCAGAAGGACGGAAAGACCCUAUAGACCUUAACUGUAAGCUGUCAUUGUUUCUUCGGUUUUAAUGCUCAGAGUAAGUGGGAGACGCUGAAGACGCCCUUUAGGGGGCGUCCGAGUCAUCAAUGAGACACCACCCUUUGAAACUGGAGGAUCUAACCCUGAGCCGUGAAUCCGGCCAGAGGACCGUGUCAGCCGGUCAGUUUUACUGGGGCGGUAUCCUCCCAAAGAGUAACGGAGGAGCGCGAAGGUGGGCUCAGCCCGGUUGGCAACCGGGUGUCGAGUGCAUGGGCAUAAGCCCGCCUAACUGUGAGACCAACAAGUCGAGCAGAUGCGAAAGCAGGCCCAAGUGAUCCGGCGGUAGAAAGUGGAAUUGCCGUCGCUCAACGGAUAAAAGGUACCUUAGGGAUAACAGGCUGAUCACGCCCAAGAGUUCAUAUCGACGGCGUGGUUUGGCACCUCGAUGUCGGCUCGUCGCAUCCUGGGGCUGGAGCAGGUCCCCAGGG
RNAcentral lists this ribosomal RNA (2492 nucleotides) under human gut metagenome. RNAcentral's name for it is "bacterial LSU rRNA". It matches the Rfam family "Bacterial large subunit ribosomal RNA", at positions 1 to 2571 of the family's 2925-position model. The record is from RNAcentral.